AGUGAACGCUGGCGGUAGGCCUAACACAUGCAAGUCGAACGGCAGCACAGUAAGAGCUUGCUCUUACGGGUGGCGAGUGGCGGACGGGUGAGGAAUACAUCGGACUCUACUUUUUCGUGGGGGAUAACGUAGGGAAACUUACGCUAAUACCGCAUACGACCUACGGGUGAAAGCAGGGGAUCUUCGGACCUUGCGCGAUUGAAUGAGCCGAUGUCGGAUUAGCUAGUUGGCGGGGUAAAGGCCCACCAAGGCGACGAUCCGUAGCUCGUCUGAGAGGAUGGUCGCCGACCUUGGAACUGGGCCAGCGACAAGGCUCCUGCGGGACGGCGCAGUGGGGAAUGUUGGACAACGGGCGCGAGCAUUACCCAGCCGGACCGCGUGUGUUGAGACGGCGUUGGGGUUGUAAAGCCGUUUUGUUGGGAGAGAAAAGCAGCAGGUUGAGACCCAGCGGUAGUGACGGUAACCGAUGAAUAAGCACCGGCUAACUUCGUG
RNAcentral lists this ribosomal RNA (492 nucleotides) under uncultured bacterium. RNAcentral describes it as "partial 16S ribosomal RNA". It matches the Rfam family "Bacterial small subunit ribosomal RNA", at positions 29 to 507 of the family's 1533-position model. The record is from RNAcentral.